CAGUCGCCACGGUAAUGCGAAGGGUGCAAGCGUUAAUCGGAAUUACUGGGCGUAAAGCGUGCGUAGGCGGUUUGUUAAGUCUGUUGUGAAAUCCCCGGGCUCAACCUGGGAAUGGCAAUGGAUACUGGCAAGCUAGAGUGUGUCAGAGGAUGGUGGAAUUCCCGGUGUAGCGGUGAAAUGCGUAGAGAUCGGAAGGAACAUCAGUGGCGAAGGCGGCCAUCUGGGACAACACUGACGCUGAGGCACGAAAGCGUGGGGAGCAAACAGGAUUAGAUACCCCCGUAGUCCCUGUCUCUUAUAC
RNAcentral lists this ribosomal RNA (301 nucleotides) under uncultured bacterium. RNAcentral's name for it is "partial 16S ribosomal RNA". It matches the Rfam family "Bacterial small subunit ribosomal RNA", at positions 509 to 807 of the family's 1533-position model. The record is from RNAcentral.